GCUCGCUUAGCUCAGUCGGUUUAGAGCGACGUGCUAAUAACGCGUAGGUCACAGGUUCGACCCCUGUAGUGAGCA
Molecule: non-coding RNA, 75 nt
Organism: Coemansia sp. Benny D160-2
Lineage: Eukaryota; Fungi; Kickxellomycota; Kickxellomycetes; Kickxellales; Kickxellaceae
Source: the annotation of a GenBank genome assembly